This 348-nucleotide ribosomal RNA is filed under the name Triticum aestivum (bread wheat). Its description in RNAcentral is "partial small subunit ribosomal RNA". The record is from RNAcentral. Lineage: Eukaryota; Viridiplantae; Streptophyta; Magnoliopsida; Poales; Poaceae.
AAUGGGCAAAAGAAGGUUCAUUGGAUCGCAUGGGAUAAAAUGUGCACGAGAAAGCAUGAAGGAGGCCUAGGAUUUCGCAACCCGGAGGCUUUCAACCAAGCCUUGCUUGCAAAGCAAGCUUGGCGUCUCUUCCAGGUCCCGUCUUCAUUGUGUGCUAGGGUAUUGAAAGCACGAUACUACCCAGAAGGAUCAAUACUAAAUGCAACCUGCCCAAGUGGGGGUUCUUACACAUAUAGAAGCAUCUUACACGGGAGGAACUUGUUGCUGGAUGGCCUCAUAUGGAGAAUUGGAGACGGAUCUAAUAUUAAAAUCCACCAGAUAACUGGAUUCCCAGGGAAGGUAGCCUAA